Molecule: long non-coding RNA, 452 nt
Organism: Pongo pygmaeus (Bornean orangutan)
Lineage: Eukaryota; Metazoa; Chordata; Mammalia; Primates; Hominidae
Exons: 3
Source: RefSeq, a predicted model, not a curated record
UCACCCCUGGAAAGGGAACUCCCUGACCCCUUGUGCUUCCCGAGUGAGGCAAUGCCUCGCCCCUGCUUCGGCUGGCGCACGGUGCACUCACCCACUGACCUGCGCCCACUGUCUGGCACUCCCUAGUGAGAUGAACACGGUACCUCAGAUGGAAAUGCAGAAAUCACCUGUCUUCUGCGUCGCCGGCUCUGGGAGCUGUAGACCGGAGCUGUUCCUAUUCGGCCAUCUUCAAAAUUUGUUGGACCCAAAUACUGAAGAAUGGCCCUUGGUCCCCAAGGAUUUCUGAUAACAAAUGAUCCAGAUUUGGGAGCUGGUCCUUGGAGGCAUGGGGACCCAGGUGGCUGUAAAGUUUCAUUCAAGGUUUGCUGUGAAGAUUGAAUAAUAUUUUGGCAUGGAAAUUAUCACAGAAGAAGGCCUAACAUGUGAUAUGUGUUCAAUAAAUCUUAACUGCA